This 446-nucleotide ribosomal RNA is filed under the name uncultured bacterium. Its description in RNAcentral is "partial 16S ribosomal RNA". It matches the Rfam family "Bacterial small subunit ribosomal RNA", at positions 338 to 795 of the family's 1533-position model. The record is from RNAcentral.
CCUACGGGGGGCAGCAGUAGGGAAUUUUCGGCAAUGGGGGGAACCCUGACCGAGCAACGCCGCGUGAACGAAGAAGUUAUUCGUAAUGUAAAGUUCUUUUAACAGGGAAGAAAGAGAAAUUUGACGGUACCUGAAGAAUAAUCUCCGGCUAACUACGUGCCAGCAGCCGCGGUAAUACGUAGGGAGCGAGCGUUAUCCGGAAUUAUUGGGCGAAAGGGGUGCGUAGAUGGCAGAGUAAGUCGUUUGUAAAAAUGCUGGGCUAAACCCAGUAGGGCAAAAGAUACUGCAAAGCUAGAGUAUGACAGAGGCAAGUGGAAUGAGAGGUGUAGCGGUAAAAUGCGUAAAUAUAUGUAAGAACACCAGUGGCGAAGGCGGCUUGCGGCGUCGAUACUGACAUUGAGGCACGAAGGCGUGGGGAGCAAACAGGAUUAGAUACCCUUGUAGUC